RNAcentral lists this ribosomal RNA (406 nucleotides) under uncultured bacterium. RNAcentral's name for it is "partial 16S ribosomal RNA". It matches the Rfam family "Bacterial small subunit ribosomal RNA", at positions 28 to 525 of the family's 1533-position model. The record is from RNAcentral.
GACGAACGCUGGCGGCGUGCCUAAUACAUGCAAGUAGAACGCAGUUGCGAACGGGUGAGUAACGAGUAGGUAACUGCCUCAUAGAGGGGGAUAACUAUUGGAAACAAUAGAUAAUACCGCAUAAUGUGAGAUGGACCUGCGUUGUAUUAGCUAGUUGGUGGUGUAAAGGCUCACCAAGGCGACGAUACAUAGCCGAACUGAGAGGGUGAUCGGCCACACUGGGACUGAGACACGGCCCAGACUCCUCCGGCAGGCCGCAUGAGGGAAUCUUCGGCAAUGGACGGAAGUCUGACCGAGCAACGCCGCGUGAGUGAAGAAGGUUUUCGGCUCGUAAAGCUCUGUUGUUAGAGAAGCGGUCACUAACCAGAAAGGCACGGCUAACUACUGGCAAGCAGCCGCGGUAAUU